GUUUCUUGAGGGAUCUGUUGCCUUUUGUUGUACCCUGGGGGUUGUAGCUGUUUAAGAACAGUUUUUCAUUGGUUACAAUCCUGU
Molecule: non-coding RNA, 84 nt
Organism: Ceratotherium simum simum (southern white rhinoceros)
Lineage: Eukaryota; Metazoa; Chordata; Mammalia; Perissodactyla; Rhinocerotidae
Source: RefSeq, a predicted model, not a curated record